UUCAAAAUUCAGUGAAAAGAACAUUCCCGAAUCAGGUCAAGAUUGUGCCAUCCUUAAUUGAUCAUAAAUUUGUGGGUUCCUUUGAGUUGGUCUAAAAUAAUCAUUCUUUUAUUGGCUGGGGAUAACUUUCAUGCGUUUGAUACUCAUGAAACAUGAACUUACUGAAAUAAGAUUAUGUUGUCACCUGUAGUUUUUAAGGGCUCAGUCUGUAUGUAGUCCUGGAUUUGGGUGUGUUCGUUAUUGAAGACAUUUCCAUUGUGGGAUAGCUGCAAGUCCCAUGGUGACUUAGUUGUGGCAAUUGAUGUUUCUUGGGUUUGUUUGCUAGAUAUUGGAGUACAAAUUUCCUGUUCUUGCUUUUUUGACUGAAUUUACUAGUGAACUGCAUUAGCCAUGUUGGACAUUUUUAUUAUUUUUGCUAAUGAAACUGAGGUUUCAGAUGAAGGGUAAUUCUUGAUGGCCAUUGUGACCACUGGACUGGAUUUUAUUCGUGUAUUUUUUUAAGUUUGUUUCUUGCUUUUGAAGUCGUGGAUUCUUAUUUUGAUUAAAAUUGCAGAUGCCAUCCCUUAUACUUCGAACCAGGAAACAAAUGCGCCUUCACUUGUUGGAAGUGAAACCCCUGGUUUUCCCAUGCUACCUGAAAAUGACCAGUCAAAUAUUGAAGUUUCAUCUGUGUAUAUUCCUCCAGA
This 686-nucleotide unclassified non-coding RNA is filed under the name Hevea brasiliensis (rubber tree). Lineage: Eukaryota; Viridiplantae; Streptophyta; Magnoliopsida; Malpighiales; Euphorbiaceae. The record is from RNAcentral.